GGGGAGCGGGCAGACGGGUGAGUAACGCGUGGGAACGUACCCCUUUUACUACGGAAUAACGCAGGGAAACUUGUGCUAAUACCGUAUGUGCCCUUUGGGGGGAAAGAUUUUAUCGGUAAAGGAUCGGCCCGCGUUGGAUUAGCUAGUUGGUGGGGUAAAGGCCUACCAAGGGCGACGAUCCAUAGCUGGUCUGAGAGGAUGAUCAGCCACAUUGGGACUGAGACACGGCCCAAACUCCUACGGGAGGCAGCAGUGGGGAAUAUUGGACAAUGGGCGCAAGCCUGAUCCAGCCAUGCCGCGUGAGUGAUGAAGGCCCUAGGGUUGUAAAGCUCUUUCACCGGAGAAGAUAAUGACGGUAUCCGGAGAAGAAGCCCCGGCUAACUUCGUGCCAGCAGCCGCGGUAAUACGAAGGGGGCUAGCGUUGUUCGGAAUUACUGGGCGUAAAGCGCACGUAGGCGGAUCGAUCAGUCAGGGGUGAAAUCCCAGGGCUCAACCCUGGAACUGCCUUUGAUACUGUCGAUCUGGAGUAUGGAAGAGGUGAGUGGAAUUCCGAGUGUAG
RNAcentral lists this ribosomal RNA (559 nucleotides) under Rhizobium fabae. Its description in RNAcentral is "bacterial SSU rRNA". It matches the Rfam family "Bacterial small subunit ribosomal RNA", at positions 89 to 678 of the family's 1533-position model. Lineage: Bacteria; Pseudomonadati; Pseudomonadota; Alphaproteobacteria; Hyphomicrobiales; Rhizobiaceae. The record is from RNAcentral.